GAUGAACGCUGGCGGCGUGCCUAAUACAUGCAAGUCGAACGAAGAUCUAGCUUGCUAGAUCUUAGUGGCGAACGGGUGAGUAAUACAUAAAUAAUCUGCCCAUAUGACUGGGAUAACUAUUGGAAACGAUAGCUAAUACCGGAUAGGUUGAUCGGAGGCAUCUCUGAUGAAUUAAAGUAGGAUUUCUACACAAAUGGAUGAGUUUAUGGCGCAUUAGUUAGUCGGUGGGGUAACGGCCUACCGAGACGAUGAUGCGUAGCCGACCUGAGAGGGUGACCGGCCACACUGGGACUGAGACACGGCCCAGACUCCUACGGGAGGCAGCAGUAGGGAAUUUUCGGCAAUGGGCGCAAGCCUGACCGGGCAACGCCGCGUGAGUGAUUAAGGCCUUCGGGUUGUAAAGCUCUGUUGUAAGGGAAGAACAUUCAGGAUAGGAAAUGAUCUUGAACUGACGGUACCUUACCAGAAAGCCACGGCUAACUACGUGCCAGCAGCCGCCGUAA
This 503-nucleotide ribosomal RNA is filed under the name uncultured bacterium. RNAcentral's name for it is "partial 16S ribosomal RNA". It matches the Rfam family "Bacterial small subunit ribosomal RNA", at positions 28 to 523 of the family's 1533-position model. The record is from RNAcentral.